AGGACUAACGCUGGCGGCGUGCCUAACACAUGCAAGUCGCACGAGAAAGGGGAGCAAUCCCUGAGUACAGUGGCGCACGGGUGAGUAACACGUGAAUAAUCUACCUCCGAGUGGGGAAUAACUGAGAGAAAUCUUAGCUAAUACCGCAUAACACUUACGAGUCAAAGCAGCAAUGCGCUUGGAGAGGAGUUCGCGGCAGAUUAGUUAGUUGGCGGGGUAAUGGCCCACCAAGACGAUGAUCUGUAUCCGGCCUGAGAGGGCGCACGGACACACUGGAACUGAAACACGGUCCAGACUCCUACGGGAGGCAGCAGUGGGGAAUUUUGCGCAAUGGGGGAAACCCUGACGCAGCAACGCCGCGUGGAGGAUGAAGCCCCUUGGGGUGUAAACUCCUUUCGAUCGGGAAGAUAAUGACGGUACCGAUAUAAGAAGCCCGGCUAACUUCGCGCCAGCAGCCGC
Molecule: ribosomal RNA, 459 nt
Filed under: uncultured bacterium
Lineage: Bacteria
Description: SSU rRNA
Rfam family: Bacterial small subunit ribosomal RNA
Source: RNAcentral